GCCUGGGUGGCUCAAUUGGUUAAGCGUCAGAUUGUUGAUUUUAGCUCAGGUCACCAUCUUACGGUUUGUGGGAUCGAGCCCCACUUCGGGCU
RNAcentral lists this transfer RNA (92 nucleotides) under Felis catus (domestic cat). It matches the Rfam family "tRNA". Rfam says of the family: Transfer RNA (tRNA) molecules are approximately 80 nucleotides in length. Their secondary structure includes four short double-helical elements and three loops (D, anti-codon, and T loops). Lineage: Eukaryota; Metazoa; Chordata; Mammalia; Carnivora; Felidae. The record is from Rfam by way of RNAcentral.